Non-coding RNA from Prunus avium (sweet cherry), 928 nucleotides. Lineage: Eukaryota; Viridiplantae; Streptophyta; Magnoliopsida; Rosales; Rosaceae. The record is from RefSeq and is a predicted model, not a curated record.
ACAACCAUCCACACGACCAUGAAUAACGAUUUAGCAAAUCUUAUAUAAGUCACUCGUGGGUUUCAUCCCUAUCCACAAAACUCUUUGAUUGUGAAAUGCUGUGAUAGAUGCAGGUUGAGGGGGGGAAGAAAGAGUUGGAAAUAAUCAUCAUUUUCAAUUUUGAAGACUCCAUGGCGCCCCUUGUGUUGUGCUACAUGUGCUUUCAAACGCUGAUCCAAUUGGCAUGUGAUCGCCUCAACCUUGUUCUUUCGGGGCCAUCUUGAAAAGCUACAUGGAUCAAUAAAGUUAUGCAAAUACAAGCAUAGACAGGCAUGUUGCUGUCCCAAAAAAAGUAGAGUUCUGAAAGCAAUCGAAUUUGGUCAUAUAAUAAUGUCCAAAGGCCCGUGGACAAGUCAGAAAGGUGUAGGCAGAUUCCAACAUGGUCCUAUAAGGCUGCCAAGGAAAAACAAAAUGAGAAGAAGGGGGUCAAUUCUUUGUCAGAUUGGUUUGACAAUGCACGCGUUUCACAAACCAAGCCUCAUGUCUGAAUCAAUUGGCUUACAAAGUUGUGUUCCAGAAAGCAAGAAAAACGUGGGUUUGGAAUUGGAUAUAUUUUCUGUUUUUUUUCUUACUAAAUAAGCGGAGGAAGAGGGGGGAGAUAUCGAAAUCAAAACUUUAGGUGCAAAAAUUAAUAUUGUUAACUACGUGAGUUACACCAAUUAAUGAGGUGUUAGUUGGAUUGACCUAGAUCUUUAAUGUGCUUUCGAAUGGUCUUGGAUUCAAGUCCUCAUAGUAUUCGUGGGUGUGAGUUUUCUUCCUCCCAUACGAGUUACAGGCCGUCGCCUAUGAUAGUUUAGGUUCAAGUCUGUUGUUUUGUUAUAUAAUUUAGUUAAGAGAUGUAAAUUUUUGGGUAAAUAAAAUGGAAAGUGCAGGAUAGUAUGUUGUUGAA